This 726-nucleotide ribosomal RNA is filed under the name uncultured bacterium. RNAcentral describes it as "bacterial SSU rRNA". It matches the Rfam family "Bacterial small subunit ribosomal RNA", at positions 8 to 736 of the family's 1533-position model. The record is from RNAcentral.
AGAGUUUGAUCAUGGCUCAGAUUGAACGCUGGCGGCAUGCCUUACACAUGCAAGUCGAACGGUAACAGGUUAAGCUGACCAGUGGCGAACGGGUGAGUAAUGCAUCGGAACGUGCCCAGUCGUGGGGGAUAACUGCUCGAAAGAGCAGCUAAUACCGCAUACGACCUGAGGGUGAAAGCGGGGGACCGCAAGGCCUCGCGCGAUUGGAGCGGCCGAUGUCAGAUUAGGUAGUUGGUGGGGUAAAGGCCUACCAAGCCGACGAUCUGUAAUUGGUCUGAGAGGACGACCAGCCACACUGGGACUGAGACACGGCCCAGACUCCUACAGGAGGCAGCAGUGGGGAAUUUUGGACAAUGGGCGCAAGCCUGAUCCAGCAAUGCCGCGUGCAGGAAGAAGGCCUUCGGGUUGUAAACUGCUUUUGUCAGGGAAGAAAUCCUCUGGGCUAAUACCUCGGGGGGAUGACGGUACCUGAAGAAUAAGCACCGGCUAACUACGUGCCAGCAGCCGCGGUAAUACGUAGGGUGCGAGCGUUAAUCGGAAUUACUGGGCGUAAAGCGUGCGCAGGCGGUUUUGCAAGACAGAGGUGAAAUCCCCGGGCUCAACCUGGGAACUGCCUUUGUGACUGCAAGGCUAGAGUACGGCAGAGGGAGAUGGAAUUCCGCGUGUAGCAGUGAAAUGCGUAGAUAUGCGGAGGAACACCGAUGGCGAAGGCAAUCUCCUGGGCCU